RNAcentral lists this ribosomal RNA (162 nucleotides) under Kalanchoe daigremontiana (devil's backbone). Its description in RNAcentral is "5.8S ribosomal RNA". It matches the Rfam family "5.8S ribosomal RNA". From Rfam's summary of the family: 5.8S ribosomal RNA (5.8S rRNA) is a component of the large subunit of the eukaryotic ribosome. It is transcribed by RNA polymerase I as part of the 45S precursor that also contains 18S and 28S rRNA. The record is from RNAcentral. Lineage: Eukaryota; Viridiplantae; Streptophyta; Magnoliopsida; Saxifragales; Crassulaceae.
AACGACUCUCGGCAACGGAUAUCUCGGCUCUCGCAUCGAUGAAGAACGUAGCGAAAUGCGAUACUUGGUGUGAAUUGCAGAAUCCCGCGAACCAUCGCGUCUUUGAACGCAAGUUGCGCCCGAAGCCAUUAGGCCGAGGGCACGUCUGCCUGGGCGUCACGU